This is a non-coding RNA of Schistosoma mansoni, 45 nucleotides long. NCBI's taxonomy places the organism in Eukaryota, Metazoa, Platyhelminthes, Trematoda, Strigeidida, Schistosomatidae. The record is from Rfam.
GUCCAGCUGACGAGUCCCAAAUAGGACAAAACGCGUGCCCUGGAU